This 218-nucleotide long non-coding RNA is filed under the name Elaeis guineensis (African oil palm). Its description in RNAcentral is "long non-coding RNA (EGUI_LNC019336)". Lineage: Eukaryota; Viridiplantae; Streptophyta; Magnoliopsida; Arecales; Arecaceae. The record is from RNAcentral.
GGUUCAAAAUUUUUCUUCUUUCUUAUAAAUCUCAUAAAUCUUUUUGUAAUCACCACCAUUUCUUCGUCAUCUUCCAAACCCUUGAUAGAGUCACUUGAACUUUCUUCAAUGGUCGAUUACUUGAGAGCAAUGGUCUUCCUCUUAGGCUCCUUUUCUUCUUUCUUUAGUGCCAUGCUCAACUCAUGUGUCAUGAGUGAACCAAUGAGUUCUUCUAGGGA